CCUACGGGUGGCUGCAGUGGGGAAUAUUGGACAAUGGGGGAAACCCUGAUCCAGCGACGCCGCGUGAGUGAAGAAGUAUUUCGGUACGUAAAGCUCUAUCAGCAGGAAAGAGCAGGACGGUACCUGACUAAGAAGCCCCAGCUAACUACGUGCCAGCAGCCGCGGUAAUACGUAGGUGGCAAGCGUUAUCCGGAUUUACUGGGUGUAAAGGGAGCGUAGACGGCAGCGCAAGUCUGGAGUGAAAUGCCGGGGCCCAACCCCGGAACUGCAUUGGAAACUGGCGAACUAGAGUGCGGGAGGGGUAAGCGGAAUUCCUAGUGUAGCGGUGAAAUGCGUAGAUAUUAGGAGGAACACCGGUGGCGAAGGCGGCUUACUGGACCGUAACUGACGUUGAGGCUCGAAAGCGUGGGGAGCAAACAGGAUUAGAUACCCCGGUAGUC
Molecule: ribosomal RNA, 440 nt
Filed under: uncultured bacterium
Lineage: Bacteria
Description: partial 16S ribosomal RNA
Rfam family: Bacterial small subunit ribosomal RNA
Source: RNAcentral